GAUGAACGCUGGCGGCGUGCCUAAUACAUGCAAGUCGAGCGAACGGACGAGAAGCUUGCUUCUCUGAUGUUAGCGGCGGACGGGUGAGUAACACGUGGAUAACCUACCUAUAAGACUGGGAUAACUUCGGGAAACCGUAGCUAAUACCGGAUAAUAUUUUGAACCGCGUGGUUCAAAAGUGAAAGACGGUCUUGCUGUCACUUAUAGAUGGAUCCGCGCUGCAUUAGCUAGUUGGUAAGGUAACGGCUUACCAAGGCAACGAUGCAUAGCCGACCUGAGAGGGUGAGCGGCCACACGGGAACUGAGCCGGGGUCCAGACUCCUAGGGGAGGAACCAGUAGGGAAUCUUCGGCAGGGGGAGAAAGCCUGACGGAGCAGCGCCGGGGGAGGGGAGGAGGUCUUGGGAUCGGAAAACUUGUUUAUGGGGGAAAAACAUAUGUGAAAGUAAAUGUGCACAUCUGGACGGUACCUAAUCAGAAGGCCCCGGCUAACUACGUG
Molecule: ribosomal RNA, 497 nt
Filed under: uncultured bacterium
Lineage: Bacteria
Description: partial 16S ribosomal RNA
Rfam family: Bacterial small subunit ribosomal RNA
Source: RNAcentral